CUUUUCGUCGUCAACCAAUACGUCGUCUGUUUCGGUCACCCCUUCGUCGGUCUCUUCCUCCGCGUCGCGAAAUAAGGGCUCCGAAAAUUCCGCCACCAAAUCCUCCAUUGAUCGAUCUUUCGCUCCCUGUCAACCAUCGAAGCUCCACACCCACCCCAUCUCAUUCGCUUUCUGUUUCCAUAUCUCCCCGCCGCGGCGCCGCCAUACAUCCAUGCCUCAGCCCUUCGCGCUGCUCCACAGUCCACACCCACCCCAUAGUCGGACCAGCCUCAGGCCUCCGGCUCCACGACCCGCUUGUAGGAGCAGCAGCGUCCCUAGGCCAGCGAGCGAGCGACAUCGAUGGCCACCGCGGGCACACACGCAUCGGAUGGCCCGGUAGCCAUAGAGUGCCGUCGUCGGAUCUCCUACCUCUCUGGCGAUGGAAAGGAUCCAGGCCAACACUUCUGAAUCCUGCUGACGCGAACGCGUGGGAAGGAGCUGCACAAAUCCUCCGGCGACGAUACCAAGUUCCUGCGAAUCCAAGCUCGCUCCCAACAGCAAGGCUGCGCUUAGUAUUGGAUCCACAGGACCUACAAAAUCUGAAUACUACCCUAUUUUGUUUAUUGGGGUUACACAACUUCCAACUCCAUGUGUAUUUGUGCGAUAUGCCAAUAUGAUGGUGAUAUGUGUACAUUACUGAAGCUGCAAAGGUAAUGUUUUACCGCUGAAUGAAAAUGUUGUGCCGACAAUAAAACAAACCUUCAUAUUGAGAAUGAAAGGGGAGGGGCCAUCGUCAGUGCUGGCCAUGCGGCGGCAGCAAGUACAAGGCAAGGUCGCUUGAAGAGAGUGGAGGAAGAGGACAAGGAUUCAGAGUAAUGCACUUCUCAGUUCUCAGUUAACAAGAAAAUGGCUGACACUGACAGUGAGGACAUACAACUGCUUGUAUGUGAUAGUGGCACUGGAAUGGUCAAGGGUAUUCUGAAUUCAUUAUUGAAUGAAGAUUUAAUUGGAAGAAUGCGGACAUGAAGAAAGGAAUUAUUGGGAUUCAUUAUUCAUAUAUAUUAAUCAAGUAUGGGAACACAACCUUAGCCUUUGCCAUGCAAAUCCUGAUUGGCCGCUGCUUCCUCACCACGCACGAAGCCAGCGCAGACCCGCCUGCUCCAUCAAGCUCUGUAUUUCAAACCAAUCUUGCAAACUUUUGUGCACAUCUUAGAUUGCUUUUCAUGUUUUAAUGGUUGGAAGUCAGUACUACUAAUAUGAACCUUGCAGGCAAACGAGAUGAAUCUGUCUAAAUGACCUUUCAUCAGUUUGUUCGUCAAUAACUGAAGUCAAUACUCCCAUAUACAAUCUCUUAUUGUGGAUGCUGAUGAUGAUGAAGAAGAAGACCUUUGUUCUCCACCUUCAGAUGAAAGAGCAUUCUUUGUACCAGAGACUACUGUCGUUCAACUCUCUGAGCAGCCUGAAGUGCUAAUAAGUGAGUCAGUGAGUAUGGAAGUUCUCAUUGAAGUUCUUUGCACCCCUAAUUAGCAGCCUGAAGUUCUUUGACGAAAUGGGUGAAGACGGAAGUGAGUACAACUACCUAGAUUGCUCAGUUUUCCCUUGCUUAUUGCAUUCCGUAAAUUAUAUGAUAAUUAACAUUAUAUUUUGAUAAAAUUGAGAAAUAACAAUGAUGCAUGCGUUCGAAACAAGAGGUAAAAUAAUAGCAGAACACUAAACAAUUAAAAUGUUGCAAAACCAGAACUUACUCACCAUGUUGAAAGAGAUCUGAUCGGGAUGCUAGAAUUUGAACCUGGCAAGAGCCAUCGAUGAGGAAAACAAACCAAAAAAAAACAAAUUCAAAUUUGGAAGCCAAGCCCCAUGGUACGAUCAGCAAGCAAUCCAUACUCUCGAGUUCUUUUUCGAUUUUUGAGACGAACCAAAGCAGCUCCUCAGCAGAAAGCAAGGCUCCAUUCACAUCCUUCAUAUGUUUGUAUAGUAAUCUUAUUGGUCUAUAGUUUUCUGAAAUUAAUUUAUGUUAGUGCCUCCAAUGUGUUUGAAAACAGUCAUUACUUCUAUAUGUCAUUGGCAUGCCUUAUGUUCACUCAAAAUUCCAUCAAAGAAACUUCUCUGCAUAAAGUUUUAUCUUGUUUAAACAUAGCAUCGACUCCUCUAUUCAGAACAAUAAGAGAAGUGAAUAACACAAUAACUAUAUGGAACGAAAGAGGAGGGAGUUAGACUCACCAUGUGUUCAGUUCUAUUAUAGUUUUUAUUCAAAAAAAAUUGUUACAUUGUCUCCUAUACAUUUGGAAAAUAACUUUUUAUAUUACUUAUUAAUAGGGCUUUCAUUCAAUUAAAAAUUUAAAAUCCAAACAAAUAAAACUUUCCUGCAUAACCUCUUACCCUAUUUAAACAUGGCAUAGACUCAUUCAGUCUUAUAAACAGUUUUCGAGUGAACAAUAUAAGUUAACAAUAUAAGAGAAGUGAUUGAUAACUUUCUAAAAGGAAUGAUAUGUGAAAGAUGCCAAUAUGAUACAUGUGUGUAGCUGAGGAAAUGGUUGUACGACUCCAAAAUGAUAAUUACACAAUAUUAGUAUUCUAUUCCCUUAUUUGUGAUAACUCUUAUUGAUGGUGGUCUUGCGCAGCAAGUGGUCACGAGUAUGCACCUAUAACUAUAUGAGUAGCCACACAAAGAACUUGGUUUGGACAGUGAACAUUUCCAAGACAACAUCAACAUGAAAUGAUCUGAGCUUAAGAGCCAAGACAACAUUAACAUGAAAUGAUCUGAGCUUAAGAAAUCAGGGAAACCUAGAGGCUGAUCUGCAGGGUUGCUAGCUCGCCUUGCUGGUGGCGGCUCUCCUACGAUAGCUUGGAUAUCUUCACAUAAAUUAUUUCUAUAUAUUGUGGCAACCAAAGAUACUUUAAGCCCCGUGGCAACGCACGGGCAUUUGUACUAGUAAUAGGAAAGAUCCCGUGCACACUACAAAUGCAUUUGUCCUGAACAUUAGAGCACAUUCAGCCGUUUGAGGCCCUAGGAUCCUAGACGUAACUACCGUCGAAUUGGAUGAAAAUAGGGCGUGGGUACCAGUUUUCCAGUCGCUCCUCAUCAUUCGCUCAACUGCGGCGUUAAUUAUGAAUAAUCGUCUUCCCGCUACACAAAAGCAUCGCCCAAAUAGUUCGAUGAUCAGAUCAGCCACAUAACGAUGAUCUAAAAGAAACUAGAGGAUAACAGGGACAUCGACAGUCCCUUCCAGUAGCUUGUCUACCGCGGAGUCGGGCGGCGAUGCAUCCUUUGGCCGCCGGAGUCGCAGCGGCGGGAGUGGACGUCGAAGGAAAGGAGGAAGCCCUCGACAGAGGGGGUCGGAGGAUGUCUUGGCGAUGACUGUCGUACCAAGCCCUCGUCUCCUCGUCCAUCUUGCCUUCGUUGCCGCCAAUCAGGAACGCUAGGUCGGUGUUCCUCUUCUUCACCGUGGCGGUUGUCUUCAGCAAGGCGAUCCAGACGCCUUGGUUGGCGAGCAUCUCCUUCCACCCGGCGUCGUACUUGUGGUCCCUCCCGGUGGCAUGCGCCCUCGCAUCGGCCCAACACUUGUCGAAUGACGCCUGCAACCUUUCGGCAGGAUUGCCCGCCUUCUUCAGCUCUUUGAGCUUCUUCUGGCCGAGCUCGGGGCGGCCCGCCGACAUGGCAGGGGCUAGAGUGGGGGGUUGUACUGCUCGUCAUUGUUCUUCGCGAGGUUCCGGCGUACGUCCGUCCACUUCUUGCAAUUGUCGAUGCGGGAGAAGACGUUGAGGUACUUGAACGUCAGGCCGGUGUCGUCGCGGUACAUGUCGAAAGCACGGUGCAUCUGCAAGAGAACCGGCGAAAUAAGAUUAAACCUAGGCGAUCCAUGAUCGAGGGAUGGCACGACGAAUCAGCUCACCUUCUGCUCGAAGUCGGCGCCGCUCUCUGGGCGAGAUUCGAUCUCCUCCUGUAUGCCGUGCAACUUGCUACACGCCGUCUGGAUGAUCCUCCAAUGGGUUCCCAUGGCCUUGUCACCACGCACCAUCACCAUCUUGUUGAAGUAGGGAUCGAUGAUCUUGUGUUCGUCGAAUGCCAACUUGACCCGCUGAGGUUGGAAAAAGCGCUAGGCGUAAGCGAGGCGAUUGCCAUUUUCCUAGUGCCUAGGCAUGCUUAAGAAGCCUAGGCGCAGCCUAGGCGGUCAUCGUUUAUACCAUCAAGUAUGUAUAUGUGUUAUUAUAUGUGAAUAAACAUUAAUUUAGAGCAUGCAAAUGUGUAAAUUUCUAAUAACUACCUUGAAAAUAAUGCCCAUAUAACUCGAUCGUGAAGUAUUGCAUGAUUUCUUAUUGUGGAAGACAAUUUCUUCGUUACACUGCCUAGACUUCCGCUUAUGCCCUAGGCGAGGCGUUUGUCCAUCUUCUAGUGCCUAAGCGUGCCUAAGCGGUGCCUAAGCGUCGCCUUGUCCAACAGAAUAUGUCUCAUAGUUCUGAUUGGCGCCGGUAAUGCCGUUCAUGGAGACAAUAUUCCAUGCUUUGGCGAGGAACUUCUCUUCUUUCCCCGUCCAUUUGAUCCACGGCUCGGUAGGCAGCGAGUUCUUCUUCCUUUUCUUCUUUUCCUUCCUCGUCACCGUAGGAUCAAGCACGUCCUCAUCCUUGCCAUUGGCCUGUUCUUCUUCUUCAUCGACGGCUUGGCACCCCGCGACACGAUCGCUGGCGUUGCUCUGGUCUCCUCUUGCGUGAAGAAACCCGGGAUCGACGCGGCGGCCAUGGAGCCCGACGUGAUCAUCUCGUGGAUCACACCAUCGUUCGGUAGCGGUAUCCCACCCAACGACGCGCACGCGCUGUUCCCGGGGUUGGAGAAGGAGAGUGGCCCUCAGCGCAGGGCAGAUGCCCUCGUACGCUCCCUAGUGGUACCGUCGUAAUCUGGUGCCUUCGCUAACCUUGACAGAUGUGUGGAUUGGGCGUAGCUCUCGUGGAACAUGGCAGGUGACGCCGGCGAGAAGGUCGAAGGCAAGCCGGUUGUACCUUCGAUUGGCCAUGAACCGGGGAAUAGGCCGACACGCGGCUGUCCCAUGCUCAUGGCCAUGGAGACCUGCCUCGGUUGUUCAUCCACCGCCGCUGCCCUCUUCGCCGGGAGCUUCAUCUUCCUCUCCGCCCUUCAACGAGUUUUGGUCUGGCGCCGCUCGACAUCUGCCACCCACCUUGCGUUUGACCAACCCGACGGCCUCUCUUUUGGCGCCUGUGGCUUCCUCGCCUUCGGCGUGCCGUCAUAGCUGCAACUGUGGGGAAUGGCGGUAGCUAUUCCAAAAUUUGGCGGGGAGAAUGGGGAUAGGCGGCGCAAUGGAGGGAAAACGAAACAAAAUGGAGGGAACUAGCCUUCCUGUGGCCGACAUCGCGGGCCCGCUCGACGUUUCGCGUGCAUUCGUUUCGUCCGAACUCCCCGAGCGCGCCUCGGCGGACCAGGAUGGCAUGGACUCUCCAGAUGGACUAAGGGCCUUUUUCAGAGAAAAAACGAAAAACCGGGGACGCGGCUGGGCCAAAUAACGCCGUCCAGGUGGAAAAAAGGGGUGCCGGAAGCCUCGUAGGGGAGAUGGCUGGAGGUGCUCUUAGAACAUCACUAGCCGAUCCCUCAAAUUUUUAAGGAGAAUCCGGGCCCCUAUUUUUUUUAGACUAGUAUAUUUGUUAAUAUAGUUGCCGAUUCUUCAUGUCUAACUCAUCAUUUGAAACUAAUUCAUUCAUAUUUGGUUCAAACUAGUACAUUAAACUACAACUGGAAUGGGAGUUUGGAGUGUUUUUCAUCAUGAUGAUAGUAUUAAGCAUUUUUUUCUGGUGUGAAAGUUAGCAUGUUUAGCCAUGUAGCUUCUAAUUUGUAUCUGCUACGUUAUGUUGUAAACUUUUUUGGUAACUGAUUCCGUGAAAUUGAUCAGAAGUUUAGAAUUCUUAUAGGGCGGGAGCGCUUGCCAUAAUAUGCUUGCUUUGAAUAUAUAGGAAUGAUAUGGUUCUCAAAUUAUUUUCCUUAGAUUAUCUGAUUUUGUACCUAUUUUAUCCCUUCCUGGUUGCCCCUAUAACAAGUGCAUAACCGAGAACUGUUUAAUGAGGCGUGUCUCACAUGGAUAGAAUCGUAAUUUACGGAUUGGUCCUCAUUAGGCGUUGUACGAGCUCUAUAUAAUUCUUGUACUAACCCUUUUCCGUUUUCCUUUUGUUGGUUCGAAUGUGUGCAUCUUACCUAUGCAGAUGCGAGAUAUAAGUGUUAGAUUAUUAGGCAAUUUCCGUGUGAGUUUAAUUACCGAAAGCAACAUUACAGAUGCACAAGCAUACUUAACCAUACUCAUCAGACUAAGCACAUGCAUCAGAUCUGAACAUGGAACAAGUAGCAGUGCAAGGUAUGAGAGGAAAAGCAUGUACAUCGCGACCGGGAAGGUCGCACCAGCAGCAGCACCACCACCACCAUGGGUAUUGUUGAUGUCGCCCAUGGUGUAGUCGGAUCUGUCGAUGAAGCAGCCGGGUCGUCGAAGAAGAGGACGAACAGUAGCGAGCAGUCGCGCCGAGACGCUCCCCAAAAACCUUAUCGCCCGUUUCCCGGUGGAGGAUCUCAACGGACGGAGUUUCGGAGGCCUGCUCUCCCGGACGGCUGUGCACGCAAUCGCCGGGAUGGGGAAGACUAGAGAGUAGCGCAGCAAAAGGAACUUCUCGAGAGAGAUGAACUAGAGAGUUCUGAGAACUGUAUAUUUCUCUAGAUCUGAUCUGUCUCCUUGUAUAGCCUGGGAAGCCGACCCGACCCGACCGCGUUGACACGCGUAGGAAGCCAGGGACACGCGGCGAACAUGCACAUGCAGGUCGACACGUACCCAACACAGUUGGUGCACCAAGCAAAAAGUUUAGGCUUCCUUGAGUGUGUCUCGAACUCGAACUCGAGUCACGAAACGCGACGUGCGUGCGUGACGAGGCGCGGCGGGGCGGGCGGAGGAGGAGGAGUGCGCGAGGGCUCUUUCUCUUCUCACUCACUUGGAAUGACUAGAACAGCAGCCCUUAUAUACCACUCCAACUCUCUCCCAACUAGCAAUGUGGGACUAAACAUUGUCCCCCAAGGCUGUCCCAAGCUGCCAACGUGAUGGGCCUUGAGAUUUCAGGAAUUGUAGACUAUAUGGGCUGCCUUACUGGGCUGCAGCCCAUCUACAUUCAACAAUCCCCCACCAGAUCUCAUAUGCACAUCAGAUGACACAUUAGUUCCAUUCACUGUUUAAUAUACAUGCACUUCAGUGGAGACUGUUAAGUUGAACUUCCACUUAGGCAAGGUGCUACGCUUGACUACAACUGAACAAUGGACUAUGCCUUGAAUUGUCAGUCUUUGUGCAGCAAGUUUCGCUCAAUGCCGGCACGGUACUAGGCUGCCAUAGCCUUCCCCUCGGGUGGAGCUUAUAAGUCAUACUCCUCGACCUUUCAUGAGCUUACUAGAGAUUCACCCAAAUCUCCCACACUAUGACCAGUAGUGUCACUCAUAUAGGUGUGUUCUUCAAAAGAUCGCCCUGUAGGACAGCGUCUUCGCUCAUCAAGAGCCGCUCAGAACACAUUAAGACAUUGUCAACCUGCCUUACAGUCUAUGAGAGAAUUGCAUCUGCAGCGGAGUGGGAGUAUUAAAUUUUCUCUCAACUCAGUUACUCCGGUUUGUUUUCCCAGGUCCUACUUCACGGAAUUUCCGAUCACAUAGGUUGGGUUACCCCCUCGGCAACUCAAGUGGGUCUCAAACCCAUCUCCAUCGAUGCAAGGUCUAUCAUAUUUCUUGAUAGUCCUUUUGUGAAAGGAUCUGCCAGAUUUUUAGCACUUUGGACAUAGUCCAAUGCUAUCACUCCGGAGUUCUUCAGUUUUCUGACAGACUUCAAUCUCCUCUUGAUAUGUUUGGAACUUUUCAUAUUAUCCUUAGAACUUUUCACUUUGACAAUCACAGUUUGAUUAUCACAGUUCAUGAGGAUGGCCGGUAUUGGUUUUUCAACCAUAGGCAAGUCCAUCAAGAGCUCACGAAGCCAUUCCGCUUCGACAGUAGCUGUAUCUAAUGCUGUGAGUUCUGAUUCCAUAGUUGACCUCGUUAAGAUGGUCUACUUGCAAGACUUCCAGGAAACAGCGCCACCACCAAGAGUGAAAACAUAUCCACUUGUGGCCUUCAUUUUAGCAUCAGAAAUCCAAUUGGAGUCACUAUACCCUUCAAGUCCUCUUGGAUACCCGGUAUAAUGAAUUCCAUAACUCAUGGUUCCCUUUAGAUAGCGCAACACUCUCUCAAGAGCAUGCCAAUGAUCAUCUCCCGGGUUGGCCACAAAUCGGCUAAGUUUGCAUACAGCAAACGAGAUAUCAGGUCUCGUAGCGCAAGCUAAAUACAUGAGUGAACCAAUGAUUUGAGAGUAUCUCAAUUGAUCUCUAGUUGCCUUCUCAUUCUUUCGAAGCAAGACACUAGGAUCAUAAGGUGUGAGAGAAGAUUUGCAAUCAGCAUAGCCAAAUCUGCUCAACACCUUCUCAACAUAAUGAGAUUGCACAAGUGUAAUCCCAUUAUUCCCAUCUCUCAAUAACUUGAUGUUCAAUAUAACAUCAGCUUCUCCAAGAUCUUUCAUCUCGAAACACUGAGAUAAGAAGGUUUUUACCUCCUGAAUCACUUUGAGACUUGUCCCAAAAAUUAGUAUGUCAUCCACAUACAAGCAUAGGGCAACUCCCUCACCCCCACCAUGGCGGUAGUACACACAUUUGUCGGCUUCAUUGACAACAAAGCCCACAGAUGUCAAAGUUCUUUCAAACUUCUCAUGCCAUUGUUUGGGUGCUUGUUUAAGUCCAUACAAAGAUUUCUUUAAUUUACACACCUUUCUUUCUUGACCUUGUAGUACAAAACCAUCAGGCUGUUCCAUGUAAAUUUCCUCGUCCAACUCUCCAUUUAGGAAAGCCGUCUUAACGUCCAUUUGAUGAAUGAGAAGACCGUGUGAGGCAGCCAAUGACAGUAGUACUCGGAUGGUGGUUGAUACGUCUCCGACGUAUCGAUAAUUUCUUAUGUUCCAUGCCACAUUAUUGAUGUUAUCUACAUAUUUUAUGCACACUUUAUGUCAUAUUCGUGCAUUUUCUGGAACUAACCUAUUAACAAGAUGCCGAAGUGCCGAUUCUUGUUUUCUGCUUGUUUUUGGUUUCAGAAAUCCUAGUAAGGAAAUAUUCUCGGAAUUGGACGAAAUCAAAGCCCAGGGGCCUAUUUUUUCCACGAAGCUUCCAGAAGUCCGAAGACGAAACGAAGAGGGGCCACGGGGUGGCCAAACCCUAGGGCGGCGCGGCCCCACCCCUGGCCGCGCCGGCCUAUGGUCUGGGCCCCCCGUGCCGCCUCUUGACUUGCCCUUCCGCCUACUUAAAGCCUCCGUGACG
Molecule: long non-coding RNA, 9336 nt
Organism: Lolium perenne
Lineage: Eukaryota; Viridiplantae; Streptophyta; Magnoliopsida; Poales; Poaceae
Source: RefSeq, a predicted model, not a curated record